RNAcentral lists this long non-coding RNA (255 nucleotides) under Malus domestica (apple). RNAcentral's name for it is "long non-coding RNA (MDOM_LNC018458)". The record is from RNAcentral. Lineage: Eukaryota; Viridiplantae; Streptophyta; Magnoliopsida; Rosales; Rosaceae.
UUAGAUGUCACUCAUAGCUUGUGAGUUCUUCUAGAUGAUUAAAUGUAGUCAUCAAAGAAGAAAGGUGAAUUACAAUGAGGUUUUAAUUCACUAAGUGAUUGAAUUAAAUAUAAGCAAUUGGAUUGAUGCCAAUCACCUCACUGCCUUGCUAAUUAGAACCUAAAAGAUUGUUCACCAUAACACUAUUCUAGUGAGUAACUAAUGGAUGAUGGAAAUAAUUAAUUGGAUUAAUUAAUUGUUGUGAUUAAUUUAGAA